UGAUAAGCGCAUCUUAGAUAACAGGUAUAAAAUCAAAUUGAAAAUUCUGCAUUUAUGCACCCAGUCUAUGCCCUCCUAAAAGUUUUGGACCAUAAACUUUUAGUCACUUGAAAUCUGACUCAUAUCUUGUAAAUUUUAGAAUUUAUUGGUUUGUGAAAUUUUUGGCCAUUGACCGGCUGUAAGUUCCUUUUGAUGCCUAUUAUAAUUUUUAUGAUUCCUGUUCCCAAACUACACAUCCUUCUCUUUAGGUGUUUCAGAGGAUUAUUUUACUUGUAUAAAAGACGGCUUGUAAUGCCUUUGUUUCCACUCUGUUCCACAAAAGAUUGAAGAGUAUACAUUAUCUUCAUUUCAAGUGUA
RNAcentral lists this unclassified non-coding RNA (357 nucleotides) under Hevea brasiliensis (rubber tree). Lineage: Eukaryota; Viridiplantae; Streptophyta; Magnoliopsida; Malpighiales; Euphorbiaceae. The record is from RNAcentral.